GUGGAUUAUGAACAAGAAGCACCUGGCAAGGUCUGUCCAUGUAGGUUUACGGGCCUGUGGCCAGGAGUGUGGGUCCGAUGUCCAGCUCCCAUGGAAGGUAUUGAAGAUGGCAAUGGGGUUGCACUUCAUCUAAGCUCCGAGUUUUUUAUCUUUCUCUUGGACAUCACUGGAAUGCAGAGCGAGGAACUCAGAACUUAUUAGCCUUGCCAACACCUGCCACUCUUUGCUGUUUCCUUUCAUAGAUAUCCUGACUUCUCAAUGCGUGGAAAAUGUAGU
This 276-nucleotide long non-coding RNA is filed under the name Zosterops lateralis melanops. RNAcentral's name for it is "lncRNA (ENSZLMG00000002106.1)". The record is from RNAcentral. Lineage: Eukaryota; Metazoa; Chordata; Aves; Passeriformes; Zosteropidae.